RNAcentral lists this ribosomal RNA (200 nucleotides) under uncultured bacterium. RNAcentral describes it as "partial 16S ribosomal RNA". It matches the Rfam family "Bacterial small subunit ribosomal RNA", at positions 8 to 208 of the family's 1533-position model. The record is from RNAcentral.
AGAGUUUGAUCCUGGCUCAGGACAAACGCUGGCGGCGUGCCUAACACAUGCAAGUCGAACGGAGGCGAGUCUUCGGACUCGCCUGAGUGGCGGACGGGUGAGUAACACGUGGAUGACGUACCCUGGUGUGGGGGAUACCCUCCAGAAAUGGAGGCUAAUACCGCAUACGAUCACCAUCAUCAAGGGUGGUGAGGAAAGCC